AAACAGCCCCCUAUGUUUUGAUUCUUUGACAGUUUUGGACCCCCAAGGCAAAAUAAAAAUAAAAAAUUUGACACGUGGCACCUCACUUAGGGUGCUACGUCAGCGUUGACCGAGUCAACACUGGACUGAGGGUUCAAAACUGCCAAAGAAUCAAAACAUAGGGGACUGUUU
RNAcentral lists this microRNA precursor (171 nucleotides) under Medicago truncatula (barrel medic). RNAcentral's name for it is "MIR2619 microRNA precursor family". It matches the Rfam family "MIR2619 microRNA precursor family". The record is from Rfam by way of RNAcentral. Lineage: Eukaryota; Viridiplantae; Streptophyta; Magnoliopsida; Fabales; Fabaceae.